AAAGGAACAAAGCAGGGUAUAUUAACAAAACUGUUAAAGUCCAUAGGAGAGGACGGCCUGAGCUUAAAUAUGCCCGGUAACCCCUCCCAAAUCCAUGCUCCGCCUUAAAAUUUGUGGUCAGGGACAAAGGCUGACAAAAGAGUGCAACAUCUGUUCUAGUGUACCGAAACCGACGUUCGGGUACGGCUGUAAAUAAAGAAUGCAAAAUGUUUUUUAAAAAUGCAACACUUUACUACGUAUAACAAUUACAUAACUAAAUCCUUAAAUUCUUGUCUUAAUUCCAUCUUGGGUUGAGGGAUAUAUCCAUUAUACACAGCAGAUUUUCAUUGUUCUAGUCUUUCAAUUUUAUGUAUUGGAAGGUUUUUACUAGAUCCUGCCGAGGCUGUUCCAAUCCGAAAUUAAUGUUCUGAAAGGGAUGAAGGGCAGCAGCCAAGUCUUACAAAAAGUGUCCUGAUAACUUAUGUUGUGAGUGGGUUACAGUGUAAUUAACAGAGGUGUAUUCCCAAGAUGAUCUGAAAGUGAAUGGCAAAAGUGAUCAAGUAUUUUUACUGGGUACCUUUAUUGUCGGUAGGAUUUCAGUUGUAUGUCUGUAGGUGGGCCAAUUUG
This is a non-coding RNA of Pelobates cultripes (western spadefoot toad), 606 nucleotides long. The record is from the annotation of a GenBank genome assembly. NCBI's taxonomy places the organism in Eukaryota, Metazoa, Chordata, Amphibia, Anura, Pelobatidae.